UGACUUUAGUUAAUCAAGCACAAAAUAAGAAAAUAGUUUAACUAACGAUGAAACCCAAGUGAGUGAUGUUUCUUAUAUUUCAAGUCAAAACUUUGUUUCAGCCAAUAAAUUGUGAGACUCUGCUUAUCAACUUGCUUAUGCCAAAGAGUCAGUGCCAUCUAGUAGAAAAAAUAAAUGUUAAGCCUAGUGAAUAAAUUGUCAGGUUUAUCAAGUAGAGAAACCCGAAAUUACUUUAAAACCUGUUCCACGAAAAAAAGUUUUUCAGCUUCCAUGUCUUUUCAUCUUUUAUAAUUUGAAGUAAACAAUAGAACAUUGGAAUGGUUCUAAUGACAAAGAAAAUAACAAUUUUGUUGUUGUACUCAUAGACAAUGGAUAAUGACUGUUGUGAUUAUUUGUCUUGGUUCUCUUCUUUACUUACCCAUCAUUUGGAACUCAACUCUUUCUCUCGGAAUUGUCAAUGCCAAUUGACUGGCCUUGAAUCAACUUGAAAACAAUGUUAAUGUAAAAUUUACUACAUUACUAGACCAGUUUCGGCUCCUUUCUAGGACUACUUAACCAGAACCUGAAUCAUUAGUGAAUAAAUAUCGUUCUGGGCAUGUGAAUUCUGGAUACUUUAUUGGCUAAUUUAGCGGUUAAUUUUUGUUUACUGAAUGGAUCGAUGAAAGAAGUAAAUGGUUGAUUAAUUAGAAUCAGUUUAUUACAAUGAAACCGGAUGCUUAUUCAAUUGAUAUGAUGCUCAUGACAAUUUAAUGAAACCGGAUGGAGAUACUUAUAAAGUGAUACAUUGUUUUGUCUCUACUUGGUUCCCAUUAAUGCAGCAAAUUCAGUCUUUUUUGUCAGACUUUCACCAAACUUUUACAUGUCAAGCUGAAUUGGAUUUAGAAGAUGCAAUGUUAACCUCGAUAAGGAUGAAAAUGUGCUGAUUGAAUACUAGCAAUAUGCUAAUCAAGUUGAUUUAAAACAGACUUUUAGGCAAUUGAUAUUGUCAUGUGUUUGUCUAUUUUAUCAUUGAUUUCAAUCAAAUCGUUUGACACAAUUGUAAUCUCUUCUUGUUUCCAUGACAAACAAAAAUACAAUUGAGAAUUAUUAACUCUAUUGAUUUCAUGAUUUCCGUUGGGAAAAUGUUAAGAGAGGCAAAAAUAUCCCUGAUUGACAGUUUAGUAAAUAGUGAAAAAUCAAUGAAGCAUAUUCAAUUCAUUAAUAAGCUUGAAAAAUUUUUACAUGAAAGAGUUGAUUCAAUACUAAUAAAAACUCAACAAUCUACAUCAAGUUGAGAAAUUUAUGUCCUUUAA
This is a long non-coding RNA of Tetranychus urticae (two-spotted spider mite), 1292 nucleotides long. RefSeq lists it as uncharacterized. The record is from RefSeq and is a predicted model, not a curated record. NCBI's taxonomy places the organism in Eukaryota, Metazoa, Arthropoda, Arachnida, Trombidiformes, Tetranychidae.